Molecule: ribosomal RNA, 496 nt
Filed under: uncultured bacterium
Lineage: Bacteria
Description: partial 16S ribosomal RNA
Rfam family: Bacterial small subunit ribosomal RNA
Source: RNAcentral
AUGCACGCUGGCGGCGUGCCUAAUACAUGCCAGUCGAGCGAACAGACGAGGAGCUUGCUCCUCUGACGUUAGCGGCGGACGGGUGAGUAACACGUGGAUAACCUACCUAUAAGACUGGGAUAACUUCGGGAAACCGGAGCUAAUACCGGAUAAUAUAUUGAACCGCAUGGUUCAAUAGUGAAAGACGGUUUUGCUGUCGCUUAUAGAUGGAUCCGCGCCGCAUUAGCUAGUUGGUAAGGUAACGGCUUACCAAGGCAACGAUGCGUAGCCGACCUGAGAGGGUGAUCGGCCACACUGGAACUGAGACACGGUCCAGACACCUACGGGAGGCAGCAGUAGGGAAUCUUCCGCAAUGGGCGAAAGCCUGACGGAGCAACGCCGCGUGAGUGAUGAAGGUCUUCGGAUCGUAAAACUCUGUUAUUAGGGAAGAACAAAUGUGUAAGUAACUAUGCACGUCUUGACGGUACCUAAUCAGAAAGCCACGGCUAACUACGUG